GGGUGCGAUCAUACCAGCACUAAUGCACCGGAUCCCGUCAGAACUCUGUAGUUAAGCAUGCUUGGGCGAGAGUAGUACUAAGUUGGGUGAGACCACUUGGUAAGUCCUCGUGUUGCACCCC
Molecule: non-coding RNA, 121 nt
Organism: Cucumis melo (muskmelon)
Lineage: Eukaryota; Viridiplantae; Streptophyta; Magnoliopsida; Cucurbitales; Cucurbitaceae
Source: Rfam